GCAUAGAAUGUAAAGCUCCUUCCACCGAGCCACGCCUGGGAAAUUAGCCGCGCUAGGUCAUACAAGAUGGCGAUUUGCGGAAGAAGCUUUCCUUUAGAAGUCAUCUUCUCAAUAAUUUUUGAAGGAGUAAUACGCAAAUAUACAAGAAGGCAAAAGCAAUUCCAAUUGCUAGGAAGUAUUGCAGAGGAUCAGAAUUGAACGAUAUCUGCAUUCUUAUUACGUCCAAAGAAGAUAUAUGGAUUUGAACUAAGCUCAAUGUGAUCAUUAAACAUUUGACAUCCGAAAUGAAACGCUUUUCCAUUGGUACUUCCUGUUUUUCCUCAAAUCCGACGAUUCGUUCUACUUGGAUAGUAGAAAUGUCCGAAAGUCAACGAACUUACGAAAUGGAAACGUUUACCUCCUCACUCUUAUAUUUGAAUGAGAUUUUAUCAUGGUGACUAGAAUAUUUCUGUUGAUGAGCAUUAUUGAAGCAUAUUGAAGCAGAAGCGUGUUUCAAGAGGCAGUUGAAAAUUCUAACAAAGGAAGGAACAUCGUUAGCUAUUGUCCAUGUAUGCAUUAUGUGAUUGUGAAUACCUAGGAAGAGGAAGAAGAAGAAAGGACAUACGUGCUUGACGACGAAGUUCCGAAAGAUCAAUAUGGCAAUGUUUUAUAAAGCUUGGAACAAGAGUACGAGGAAAUGGGAGGGAUUUAUCUUUUUCAAAGCAUCUAACUGUGAGCGGCUUUAGCUGGAGGGUAUAAGCGAUUGUGUUCAACAAGCUUUGUCGAAGAGCCGUCCGACGUUCCAUGCGAGGUAAGGGUCAAAGGGGAAUUAAAAUUAAACUGAGGGAGGUUUAUAAUACAAAAUAAUUGAACAGACAGGGACGAUCAAAAGAUUCAUCUUUUUUCAAAGUAAUCCCAUUAGCAGGGGAAUACUUUUAAAUUAAACGUGAAAUAGAAAGUCCACGUCACGUCAUUGUUAUUCCAUCGAUUUAAAUUAAGUAACCAUUCGAAAUAAUUAAAUGGGAGAAGUAUUGAAUUCUAUAUUUCAAACUGUUUGCCGUAACAUUCGCAACAUAUACAUAAAAAAUAUUCGUAAUAUUUAAUUAGCGUUUUUCUUAAAUAUUCAAAUUUGGACGAAAUAAUUUGGUUCGUAGCGCUAAUUAUCCAUUUAGUAUGUUAUGAAAGGAAUUUCGUUAUAGUGGAUGUCCGUAAUACGUUCUCCCAUAUUUAUCGUCAAGUACCUUCGUUUAAACCUUUUUCCAUUAUCUCUCUCCAUGUACGUGUGCUCUGGUGCACGUCUAUCCGCGUAAGGUCGAGUGGCUGUCAUUGAGUGUGCGUGUGUACGUAAAACUCCUGGCUUAUUUUGACAAUAAGGAAAGUAUUUUUUCAUUUAUUUUCCUGUCCUCAGACCAAGCGAACAAUAGGAGACUGGCUGUAUUAUUCAGUUGCCUAUUUAGCUUCAUUGUUUGAUAGCACGCUUGUUUGAAUAUGGGAAUAGCCUAUAUUCUUAGGAACCAAUUGAUUUGGUACAUGAUAUACGAAAUAUUAGAUAAUUAGAAGUAUAAUGGGAUUAUUGUUUUGCAUUCUCCAAUAGGGAGUAACUUUCUAGAACAAUUUACCCGUUCAUAUGGAAGAAUCAUACCAGCCGUGGUAUAUCGAUCCGCAAAAGACAAAUGAAAUCAUACAGCUAAAUAGAUAAUUGAGUUAUAUCGCUAAUCGUAUUAUCGCAUUGUCUGCUUGGUUUGAUGAGGGGAGAACUAAUGAAAAAAUACUAUCCUUGUUUUCAAAAUAAGAGAGGAGAUGUACGCAAACACGCGCACUCAUUUCCGUCCACUUGACUGGAACACGUAAACGCGCAUGUGCACGGCGAGAGGUAGUAAUAAAUCGUUCAAUAUGAAAGUGCUGAACGAUAGGUAGGAGAGAACGUAUUCCUCAACGAGCAAAUCGUUAAAUGCCGAUCAAUACCCCUUAACAAGGGAAUUUGUAGGCAUGCAGAAUCAUAUAUUUUUGAGAAAAAUCACAAUUUUGUCCAUUAUAAUUUUCUAUGAUGUCUCUGAUAAAUGUUGAAUCAAUUCUUUUCCAACAUUAUCAUCCCUAGCAUUAGGUGUAAGGUCUUUCCGUUUUAUUAUUACAUGACAUCAGUAUUACUGCUGUCGUUUUAUAUUUUUUAUAUUUUUUUCCCGAUUAAUAUUUUUUUUUUUUUCUAACAUGUCUGUAUUAAUAUUUGUCUUGAACCCAAAAUUCUCCUGCGAUAUUACUUAUUACACGAAACUAACUCGUGUUUGGAAAUUUUGCCAUUCUCUUAAUGAAAAAGAAAUGAGUAAUUAAAAGCGUUGGUAGUCUCAAAUUGUAUAUUACGAUAUCACGAAACGAUACGUACCAAAAGAGUAUUACGUCUCUGAUUUUCUGGCUUAUUUGUCUAGGGAGCAAUCUGUUUCACUAGAAGUUUCCAUACGAAACGAGUACAGCUUCGCAAAUCUCUCCUGUGUUUCAUGAUUGCUUGUUCACUCCAUCAAAUAUCACUGCAUCGUACGAGGCGUACUCGCGUACCAUUGCAGACAAGUCCUUGUCACUCUCUUUAAGUGGUUUAGAAAAGCUCUCAGACCGUUGUGAACGAAGUUCUUCUUCGUAAAAUCGACUGAUAUACUUUUUAUAUAACUUGUUUAUUUGACCAUUUCUUUAUUAACUAACUCAGUGGUUCUCUCGGUGGGGAAACACGGGAAAGAGGGGAAGGUAAUAUUAGGAAACCAUAAAUGUAACGAGACAUAGAGUAGAAUAUUUACAUAAAGAUACAAAUAUAAUUACGUAACUAUAGGAGAGGGGAAAUAUUUAUCCCCAUGCGUUCUAGUUAGAGAAUUAGAAUCUAGGAAGCUUGGUCUUCUAUCGUUAUGACGUGACCAAUUUAACUAGGGUAAGUCAUUCCUUUCGUGAUUUUCGACCCAGUAAUACGCAAGUGUGUCUCAUACACGAAAUAAUCCCUAGUUGUCAUACGUACCAAAGAACAGCUUUACAAAUAAUACAAACGGUUUAAACACGAUUAGAUUUAGUAGAAAAUUUCAUUUCUAUAUCAUAGAAAUGAAAUUGAUUCUCUUGAUUCAUAGCAUUUUAAUUAUUAUUUUGUUGGGUUUAGGAAUAGUUGCUGUAGCCAUAUAUUUGUAUUUAUAAGAAAAUGUUCGUUCUUUAUUUCGAUAUAUUAAGAUAAACUUAAAUUCGAAAAAAAUUUACUCCAAUGUACAUUUUCUUCGAAGAAAUUAUUUACGGUAAGAAAAUUAGCUACUUUCAUUUCCGUUUAAAGUUCUUCGACAUGUAUCUACUUAGCGAGAUUGUAAUCCAAUCUCUUUUCCAAUAAAUAAACAUUUAAUCUAUUAAAUAUAACUAGUAAGUAUAAGGUAGACUUACGAAAGAAGUAACAGUGCGAAUUUCCUAUAUGAAUAUCCGAUUAAUUAGUCUUGAUAAUUACAAUAAUUAUUAUUAUAAUAGUUAAUUAUAUCGUAAAUAAUUACAGUUUUAUAUUAUUAUUUCGAUUAAAAAAUAGACGAAUUAUUGUAAGAUUCUCAUUAGGAAAUUCCAAGAUAUAUUACACAGAUAAUUUCGCGUGAACAUAGAAUAUAUAUACAUAUAAUUACAUAACUAUAGGAGAGAGGAAAUUAUUUAUCCCCAUGCGUUCUAGUUAGGGAAUUAGAUUUUACGAAGCUUGGUCUUCUAUCCUGCUAACAUGGGACUAAUAAAACUAGGUUAAGUCAUUCCUUCCGUGAUUUUCGACCCAGUAAUACGCAAGUGCGUCUCAUACGCGAAAUAAUCCCUAGCUAUCAUACGUGCCAAACAACAGCUUUACAAAUAAGAGAAACGAUUGAAACACCCUUUAUCACUGAUCAUUCUAUUAUUCCAUUAAUAUUCUUUAAAUUUAGCACUAUAUUUGUAUAAGAUUUAUUAGAAAAUUCCA
This is a long non-coding RNA of Vespula vulgaris, 3922 nucleotides long. RefSeq lists it as uncharacterized. NCBI's taxonomy places the organism in Eukaryota, Metazoa, Arthropoda, Insecta, Hymenoptera, Vespidae. The transcript has 3 exons. The record is from RefSeq and is a predicted model, not a curated record.